RNAcentral lists this ribosomal RNA (260 nucleotides) under uncultured bacterium. Its description in RNAcentral is "partial 16S ribosomal RNA". It matches the Rfam family "Bacterial small subunit ribosomal RNA", at positions 524 to 776 of the family's 1533-position model. The record is from RNAcentral.
UACGUAGGGUGCAAGCGUUGUCCGGAAUUAUUGGGCGUAAAGAGCUUGUAGGCGGUUUGUCGCGUCUGCUGUGAAAAUCCGGGGCUCAACCCCGGACUUGCAGUGGGUACGGGCAGACUAGAGUGUGGUAGGGGAGACUGGAAUUCCUGGUGUAGCGGUGAAAUGCGUAGAGAUCGGGAAGAACGCCAAGGGCGAAGGCACUCUGCUAGGCCUGAUUUCGCGACUGACACUCAGGGACGAGAGCCAGGGGAGCGAAUGGG